Molecule: long non-coding RNA, 225 nt
Organism: Centruroides sculpturatus (bark scorpion)
Lineage: Eukaryota; Metazoa; Arthropoda; Arachnida; Scorpiones; Buthidae
Exons: 3
Source: RefSeq, a predicted model, not a curated record
UAAAACUUAAUUUUUUUUCAGAUGAUAGUCCUGUUUUGCAGAAUACAUCAACAUAUAAUUCCAUUACAAGAAAAUUAGUGAAUGAAUCACAUGGUCUCUUUUUAAAUUUACAAGUUCUCUCUCAGCAAGAAAGUAACAAUGAAAAGAAAGAACAAUUGAUCAAAAUUAGCCAUAAAUACAGAUCUAUCUUAACAGAAUGUAUUUGUAAUCUAUCAAAAGUCACAG